GAUGAACGCUGGCGGCGUGCCUAAUACAUGCAAGUCGAGCGAACAGACGAGGAGCUUGCUCCUCUGACGUUAGCGGCGGACGGGUGAGUAACACGUGGAUAACCUACCUAUAAGACUGGGAUAACUUCGGGAAACCGGAGCUAAUACCGGAUAAUAUAUUGAACCGCAUGGUUCAAUAGUGAAAGACGGUUUUGCUGUCACUUAUAGAUUGAUCCGCGCCGCAUUAGCUAGUUGGUAAGGUAACGGCUUACCAAGGCAACGAUGCGUAGCCGACCUGAGAGGGUGAUCGGCCGACCUGGAACUGAGACACGGUCCAGACUCCUACGGGAGGCAGCAGUAGGGAAUCUUCCGCAAUGGGCGAAAGCCUGACGGAGCAACGCCGCGUGAGUGAUGAAGGUCUUCGGAUCGUAAAACUCUGUUAUUAGGGAAGAACAAAUGUGUAAGUAACUAUGCACGUCUUGACGGUACCUAAUCAGAAAGCCACGGCUAACUACGUG
RNAcentral lists this ribosomal RNA (497 nucleotides) under uncultured bacterium. RNAcentral describes it as "partial 16S ribosomal RNA". It matches the Rfam family "Bacterial small subunit ribosomal RNA", at positions 28 to 507 of the family's 1533-position model. The record is from RNAcentral.